This 485-nucleotide ribosomal RNA is filed under the name uncultured bacterium. RNAcentral describes it as "bacterial SSU rRNA". It matches the Rfam family "Bacterial small subunit ribosomal RNA", at positions 15 to 518 of the family's 1533-position model. The record is from RNAcentral.
GAUCCUGGUCAGGACGAACGCUGGCGGCGUGCCUAACACAUGCAAGUCGAGCGAGGAGAUCCUUCGGGAUGAUCCUAGCGGCGGACGGGUGAGUAACACGUGGGCAACCUGCCUCAUAGAGAGGAAUAGCCUUCCGAAAGGGAGAUUAAUACCUCAUAACAUUGCAGUUUCGCAUGGAACAGCAAUUAAAGGAGUAAUCCGCUAUGAGAUGGGCCCGCGGCGCAUUAGCUAGUUGGUGAGGUAACGGCUCACCAAGGCGACGAUGCGUAGCCGACCUGAGAGGGUGAUCGGCCACAUUGGGACUGAGACACGGCCCAGACUCCUACGGGAGGCAGCAGUGGGGAAUAUUGCACAAUGGGGGAAACCCUGAUGCAAGCAACGCCGCGUGAGUGAUGACGGCCUUCGGGUUGUAAAGCUCUGUCUUCAGGGACGAUAAUGACGGUACCUGAGGAGGAAGCCACGGCUAACUACGUGCCAGCCGCAGC